Molecule: ribosomal RNA, 458 nt
Filed under: uncultured soil bacterium
Lineage: Bacteria
Description: bacterial SSU rRNA
Rfam family: Bacterial small subunit ribosomal RNA
Source: RNAcentral
AGAACGAACGCUGGCGGCAUGCCUAAUACAUGCAAGUCGAACGAACUCUUCGGAGUUAGUGGCGCACGGGUGCGUAACGCGUGGGAAUCUGCCCCUUGGUUCGGAAUAACAGUUGGAAACGACUGCUAAUACCGGAUGAUGACGAAAGUCCAAAGAUUUAUCGCCAAGGGAUGAGCCCGCGUAGGAUUAGCUAGUUGGUGAGGUAAAGGCUCACCAAGGCAACGAUCCUUAGCUGGUCUGAGAGGAUGAUCAGCCACACUGGGACUGAGACACGGCCCAGACUCCUACGGGAGGCAGCAGUAGGGAAUAUGGACAAUGGGCGAAAGCCUGAUCCAGCAAUGCCGCGUGAGUGAUGAAGGCUUAGGGUUGUAAAGCUCGUUUACCGAGAUGAUAAUGACAGUAUCGGAAGAACGUAACGACCCCGGACUAACCGUCCGUACGACCGAGCGACGCCGGAC